CUCAGACUUUUCAGUUUUGAAGCAGCAUUUCAGUUUUUGCUAUCAUUUUCUCUUGUCUUUCUAAAAGAAGCUGGAUUUCUUUUUUUGUAUAGUAAAGGAGGAAAAGGUUACUUAUGAGAAUACAGCACGACACAAAAUACAGUAUCAAGGUCCCUUGGAUUUGGUUGAUACGUCCCUCUGCCAGACUUCCCUGCUGCUCAUUCCAUUCUUUAGUUGUCACAUCUACUUUGGCGUUAAUGUCACCCAUCACAAAGUGUUUUCUCACGAAGGAUAUGAGAUGUCUAUCCCAGCCAAAAGCCCAGGAUUUCUGCAGUAGCAACAAUCAGAGCACUGGGACACUUUGGUGGAACAUAAGGCAACAAACUGAUGGCACGGUUGGACCUAAUGCAACAGGAA
Molecule: long non-coding RNA, 396 nt
Filed under: Chloebia gouldiae (Gouldian finch)
Lineage: Eukaryota; Metazoa; Chordata; Aves; Passeriformes; Passeridae
Description: Erythrura gouldiae (Gouldian finch) lncRNA (ENSEGOG00005007619.1)
Source: RNAcentral